AUACGAAGGGUGCAAGCGUUAAUCGGAAUUACUGGGCGUAAAGCGUGCGCAGGCGGUUUUGGAAGACAGAGGUGAAAUCCCCGGGCUCAACCUGGGAACUGACUUUGUGACUGCAAGGCUAGAGUACGGCAGAGGGGGAUGGAAUUCCGCGUGUAGCAGUGAAAUGCGUAGAUAUGCGGAGGAACACCGAUGGCGAAGGCAAUCCCCUGGGCCUGUACUGACGCUCAUGCACGAAAGCGUGGGGAGCAAACAGGAUUAGAUGCCCUGGUAGUCCACGCCCUAAACGAUGUCAACUGGUUGUUGGGUCUUCAUUGACUCAGUAACGAAGCUAACGCGUGAAGUUGACCGCCUGGGGAGUACGGCCGCAAGGUUGAAACUCAAAUGAAUUGACGGGG
Molecule: ribosomal RNA, 395 nt
Filed under: uncultured bacterium
Lineage: Bacteria
Description: partial 16S ribosomal RNA
Rfam family: Bacterial small subunit ribosomal RNA
Source: RNAcentral